CCACAUUGGCCAGGAUGAUCUCAAACUCCUGACCUAAGGUGAUCCGCCUGCCUCGGCCUCCCAAGGUGCUGAGAACACAGGUGUCAGCCACCACGCUGGGCUGGGCAUAGCAUUGUAACACAGACAAAGCACAAAAUACUUGGGCAAUAUCUUUUUACAUUUGGCUUGUCUAGACUGCAUCCUCCAUCCCCUCAUGCGCUGGUGUGGUGCGGUCCAGAAUAUCGCCCACCUAGACUGCAGAGUGGAUUUGGGUGGCAUCUUGGCUUUCUGCACAAGACUUGCCUGUUCCCCACCACAUCCCCCUGGUUCUCAGGGUCCAGGAUUCCAGGAGUCUGGGAUGUGGUCAGGCAGGGCAGGUGGCCCACCCAGUUCACUCCCACACUGGGGACCUGCAGAGCCGGCUGUCUGAGACAGGGUGUUUGGACCAACAUCUGGGUUUCUGGAUUUCCAUUUGAGCACAGCUGGACUACACAGCUCUCUCUGCCGAGAUAUAGAUAUUUCCCUGUCGACAAUGUUUCAAGCUGACAUGAAGACAUGGCCACCCACUGGAACGUGGUGUGUCUGCUGUGGCGCUCUUGUAAUUUGUGAGGCAGGCUCCUGAGGAAUGCAGUGAGUAAGUGGGAAAUGGCGGGAAGUUCUCCCAUUCCCCCCCACCCCUCCAAAAGUGCUGCUUGCGCAGGUUGGUGGACGGUCCUCUGAGCAGGAAGAAGACAAGGAGCACAUUCCUGUUAGCUACCACAGAGAGGGGGAGGGUACGCACUGGACAUUUCAAACCCCUGCAGAGAAGCAAGUCUUACUGUGCUGGGAGUACUUGUGGAGUGCGGGCUGUGUUGCCCUGGGCUUUAAUUAUUUCAGGAACAUUUAACCACUGGGCUGGCCGGCUGGAUCUUGAUAUGUGUUUCUCAGUUGGAAAGACUUUGGUCCAUAGGGAAAUGUCUUCUCAAUUCUUUUAAUUUCAUUAAGGUGGUUAUUUUUCUUCUUGUGGCCUCUGGAAUGUGACACAGAACUCAAGGGACAGGAAGGAGAUGAGUUGGAGGCUGGGUCAGGGGUCCCUGCCAGGGAUGCUGGUGACUCACGUGACGGUGUUGAUGUGUGGAGUCCGGUGCCUGGUUUGGGGAAUGUUCAUGGGAUAUGUUCCACAACACUGACGGAUCUAUCAGGUACUGGAGGUGAAUGGUCAAGUCUGAUCUCAGGGCUGACAGUGUCAGGCAAGGACAGGAAGUUGACAUUGGACUCAUUGGCUGAGGUUGCUGGGGACCCAGGGGGCAAUGUGUGCCAGGACAGAUGGGUCUGGGGCUAGGAAGGCAGGUUUGGGCUGGAGACUCGGUCUUGGGAGGCAUCCCAUUAGACAGUGGUUGAGGCUGUCAAAAUGACUGUGAUUGCCUGGGAUGAGAGUGGAGACAGACAGGAUGGGGGUUUUGCUCUAAGCCUGGGGAACCCACCUCCCAGGUUCAAGCAAUUCUCCUGCCUCAGCCUCCCAAGUAGCUGGGAAUGCAGGUGCGUGCCACCAUGCCCUACUAACUUUCGUAUUUUUAGUAGAGAUGAGGUUUGGCCAGGCUGGUCUCAAACUCCUGACCUCAAGUGAUCGGCCCACCUUGGCCUCCCAAAGUGCUGGGAUUACAGGCAUAAGCCACCAUACCAUGCCUGACCAUUUUUAAAUAUUAAUUUUUAUGAAAUAUUUUCAAACACAUUUUACUGUACAUUGGAAAAGUCAAUCAUGAUUUCAAAACUUUAUCAAAAUCCAAUCAGAAGUCAAUUAACCAUUUAAUUGUGGAUAGGUAAGGAGACUAUUUUGACCAAAUAUGUUAGAACAAUUACCACUUAUAGAAAUAAUCUAUGUUUUAAUGUUUUAGUUGAAUUAAACAAUCUUUUAUAUUCUGUCCAGACACAGUGGCUCACACCUGUAAUCCCAGCACUUUGGCAGGUCGAGGCUGGCGGAUCACCUAAGGUCAGGAGUUCGAGACCAGGCUGGCCAACAUGGCGAAACUGUCUCUACUAAAAAUACAGAAAUUAGCCAGGAGUGAUGGCACACACCUGUAAUCCCAGCUACUUGGAAAGCUGAGGCAGGAGAAUCGUUUGAAGCGGGGAAAGCGAGGUUGCAGUCAGCUGAGAUCACACCACUGCACUUCAGCCAGCCUGGGUGACAGAGCGACACUCUGUUUCAAAAAUAAACGAAUAAAUAAAAUGGAAUUCUGAAUUUUAUUUUUAAUAAUUAUUUUUGUAAAGAGAAUGUCUUGUUUUUUGGAGUUGUUGAAUUUAUUGAAUUGACAAAAAUUAUGUACAAG
Molecule: long non-coding RNA, 2285 nt
Filed under: Homo sapiens (human)
Lineage: Eukaryota; Metazoa; Chordata; Mammalia; Primates; Hominidae
Description: long non-coding RNA NONHSAT198261.1
Source: RNAcentral